CUUUGAAGACAUCAACUCUUUCUCCUAAGGAAUUUCUUGGCAAUUGUCAAUUGCUAAGCACAUGACUUCAUGAGUGUACCCUAACACACACCCAUGUUGUAACCUACCAUGCAGUCUAUUUCUGGAUGUGAUUUAAAGCACCCGUAAUAAUGAGACAGGAGAACUUUUGACUGCAUAUUCAAGCUGGUAUGAAAUCUCAGGAAGUUUUAAUGGCUGACAUUGGUGAAUGAGGACGAUUUGAGUUAUGAUGAGACAUUUUUGGGCAAGAUAUGGAAGGAAACAUUCAUUUAGAUGCAUAGGAAUUACUAAGGUUUUUUAUAAUCAAGCCUUGAGGAAAAUUUGGCUUUGGAAGCAGGAGAUGCUCAGUGGCUCUCCCCAGGAAAGUCUCCUGGAAAGGGCACCUCAGCUUAUGCUCAGUACAGGGAGAACAUUAGCAGGGAGGGAAAGUCUGCUCCCCAUGACAUCAGCUGUCCCUUCUUGGACAUUCUAUUGUCUCCUAGAGAGUUCUGGCAUCCUCUGUGAUGGCACCAGUGUUGUAGUGACAACCAGUGCCCUAGUUUCUCUCACUCUGAGUCUGGCGGUUACACCCUAAGACAUGUUUUCCCUUCUUCGCAAGCGUUUUGGGAGGGGGAACGUUGAUUCUGGAGAGACUAGAGUGAAGGAGUCUGGCCUUUCAUCUCAAAGUAAUGAUGGACAAAUACAGCACUUCUGGGGAAUGUGGAACGCUGGGAGAGAAACAUCAUCCCCUGAAACUGCCCUAAGCAAGAAUCAGGCCAAGAAGGAAAAGGAGAGGCUGAUUGAAGAGCUGCGGCUCAUUACCGAGGAGAGAAAUGACCUGAGAGAUCGCCCGAGGUUCCUGACAGAGAGAUCCAAGAACUACAGACCACACUUCAGGCCAAAUCCAUAUUAUGAAGGCCUGGAGAGAAUGGAGGAGGCGGUCAUGUCAAUUCUGCACAAGUUAGAGAUGGAGAACACUGAAAUCCAUGAGACCAACCAUAAGCUGAAGAAGGAGAUGACCUUCUCUAGGUAAGUCCUGGUCAGAAAGGUUAUCACUUGUGGAAUGGCCAUUUCUGACUUUCUUUGUUCUGGAUUGGACAGUCUUCAGCUAUGAUUCUAUCUCUUGUGCUGUUUACACAUCAGUGUGCCAGGGUCAUUAGGACUCAGUUUUCAGUUCCAUAAAAGAGUGUUCCUCAUCCCAGGAUUGUCUAGGCAUCUGCAGAAGGCUCUACAUAGAACAGCUCGGAUUAAAGUCAGCAGGUUAUUAGGCUGACCUGUACCUCUGGGGUCACACCAGGUUUUACAACACUCAGUGUGUGGACCACAUGGUUAGCAUGACCUUCUCUUGGUACUACUGACCUCUUUUGAGGGUGUUGGCCCAUUGCUAAUUGAUGUUGCCCCCAUGCAUUGGGCUUUCAUGGAUAGUUGUAGAUCCGUGUUCUUUUUGAGAGAUGUGGACACUAAUUGGUGCUCGGUCCAAGCAAACAAUUUUUUCUUCCCCGAAUUAACUCUUUGUGGUUUGUGCAGCAGCAUUAUGUGUAUCGAGAUGUAUUUUAUUAAGUCUUCAUGGGUAUCUGGGACCUGGUAGAGUUAGUGGGACUUGGGAGUAGGAAUGGGAGAAAGGGGCAGCAUGAUCUUACUAUGCAGACUGUAUUUCCAGAAACCUGCUCAGCCAGCUCCUGAUGGAGAACACAUGCAGGAAGAAGUUGGUCCCACGGAAGCAGGGGAGCAAGGAGGGACAUCUUGAGUGUGCACUGAACCAGAAAUAUUUGGUUGACUUCAACAAGAAAGAUAAAGACCAGCAACGUCCAUACCCAGCAUCAUCUGGUCUCAGAAAGUGCAAGAGAGCUGGAAUUGGACACACCCCAGUAAGAGAGCUUCCUGAAGAAUGAGUUGCUUUCUCAGGAGUCCCUGAUGACAAACAUCCUGAAUGGUAACAAUAUUUUUUAGAUGAAUAUUCUUCCUCAGAGUUAAUUUGUCAUUUCUUAGAGACCCUCAAUUUAUAUAACACUAAACCAGCCUGACUGAUUGAGGUCUUACUCACUUUCUUCUUCAGAAAACACAACUUGAGAGACAGCUUGGGGGACCACCUUUCAUUAUGUGUGCUAGAGGAGAAACAGCAAAUACGUCUGUGCUUCUACAUGUUCCUUUAGAAUAUGCUGUUUAGAAAUUUUUUGUUAUGAUUUUAAUUGAAGUUUUCUCUUUGUUAUUUCAUAUUUAUAUGUUCUUGAUAAUAUUUUUCACUUUCAAAUAUUUUUAAAUAUUUUUAUUCAUUUUAAUCCUGUUUUGUUGUAAAAAUGUAUUUGUUAUGAAUAAAAAUUGAAUUCU
Molecule: non-coding RNA, 2325 nt
Organism: Rattus norvegicus (Norway rat)
Lineage: Eukaryota; Metazoa; Chordata; Mammalia; Rodentia; Muridae
Source: RefSeq, a predicted model, not a curated record